GGGGGAUAUUGCACAAUGGGGGAAACCCUGAUGCAGCGACGCCGCGUGAGGGAAGACGGUCCUCUGGAUUGUAAACCUCUGUCUUCGGGGACGAAACGAGACGGUACCCGAGGAGGAAGCCACGGCUAACUACGUGCCAGCAGCCGCGGUAAUACGUAGGUGGCAAGCGUUGUCCGGAAUUACUGGGUGUAAAGGGAGCGUAGGCGGGCAGGCAAGUCAGGCGUGAAAUAUAUCGGCUCAACCGGUAACGGCGCUUGAAACUGCAGGUCUUGAGUGAAGUAGAGGUUGGCGGAAUUCCUAGUGUAGCGGUGAAAUGCGUAGAUAUUAGGAGGAACACCAGUGGCGAAGGCGGCCAACUGGGCUUUUACUGACGCUGAGGCUCGAAAGUGUGGGGAGCAAACAGGAUUAGAUACCCUGGUAGUCCACACCGUAAACGAUGAUUACUAGGUGUGGGGGGACUGACCCCUUCCGUGCCGGAGUUAACACAAUAAGUAAUCCACCUGGGGAGUACGGCCGCAAGGUUGAAACUCAAAGGAAUUGACGGGGGCCCGCACAAGCAGUGGAGUAUGUGGUUUAAUUCGACGCAACGCGAAGAACCUUACCAGGUCUUGACAUCGUAUGCAUAGUGUAGAGAUACAUGAAGUCCUUCGGGACAUACAGACAGGUGGUGCAUGGUUGUCGUCAGCUCGUGUCGUGAGAUGUUGGGUUAAGUCCCGCAACGAGCGCAACCCUUGUAUUUAGUUGCUACGCAAGAGCACUCUAGAUAGACUGCCGUGGACAACACGGAGGAAGGUGGGGAUGACGUCAAAUCAUCAUGCCCCUUAUGACCUGGGCUACACACGUACUACAAUGGCAAUGGAACAGAGGGAAGCGACUCAGCGAUGAGAAGCAGAUCCCGAAAAAUUGUCUCAGUUCGGAUUGCAGGCUGCAACCCGCCUGCAUGAAGUCGGAAUUGCUAGUAAUCGCGGAUCAGAAUGUCGCGGUGAAUACGUUCCCG
This 997-nucleotide ribosomal RNA is filed under the name uncultured bacterium. RNAcentral describes it as "bacterial SSU rRNA". It matches the Rfam family "Bacterial small subunit ribosomal RNA", at positions 356 to 1376 of the family's 1533-position model. The record is from RNAcentral.